Molecule: ribosomal RNA, 601 nt
Filed under: uncultured marine eukaryote
Lineage: Eukaryota
Description: SSU rRNA
Rfam family: Eukaryotic small subunit ribosomal RNA
Source: RNAcentral
AAAGCUCGUAGUUGGAUCUCAGGGUGAGCUCUGUCGGUCGGCCUAAUUGGUCAGAACUGGCUGACUCUCCCUUGUUUCUGAAUCCGUUCCGGAGUUAAUUCCUCGGUUCUGGACUUCAGAUCGUUUACCUUGAAAAAAUUAGAGUGUUCAAAGCGGGCGUUUGCUUGAAUACAUUAGCAUGGAAUAAUGGAAUAGGACCCUGGUUCUAUUUUGUUGGUUUUGAGGACCAGAGUAAUGAUUAAUAGGGAUAGUUGGGGGCAUUCAUAUUUAAUUGUCAGAGGUGAAAUUCUUGGAUUUAUGAAAGAUGAACUUCUGCGAAAGCAUUUGCCAAGGAUGUUUUCAUCAAUCAAGAACGAAAGUUAGGGGAUCGAAGACGAUCAGAUACCGUCGUAGUCUUAACCAUAAACUAUGCCGACUAGGGAUUGGAAGCGGUUUGUUCAUUGACCCUCUCAGCACCUUACGAGAAAUCAAAGUUUUUGGGUUCCGGGGGGAGUAUGGUCGCAAGGCUGAAACUUAAAGGAAUUGACGGAGGGGCACCACCAGGAGUGGAGCCUGCGGCUUAAUUUGACUCAACACGGGAAAACUUACCAGGUCCAGACAU